Molecule: ribosomal RNA, 676 nt
Filed under: uncultured bacterium
Lineage: Bacteria
Description: bacterial SSU rRNA
Rfam family: Bacterial small subunit ribosomal RNA
Source: RNAcentral
AGAGUUUGAUCCUGGCUCAGGACGAACGCUGGCGGUGUGCUUCACACAUGCAAGUCGAGCGAAUGAAGAAGGUAGCUUGCUACUUUUGGAUUUAGCGGCGGACGGGUGAGUAAUAUAUAGGAAUCUGCCCUAGAGCGGGGAACAACAGACCGAAAGGUUUGCUAAUGCCCCAUAGGUACGCAGUCUUCGGAUUGUUUAUUAAAGGAGUAAUCCACUCUAGGAUGAGCCUGUAUCCGAUUAGCUAGUUGGCGGGGUAAAGGCCCACCAAGGCUACGAUCGGUAGUUGGUCUGAGAGGAUGAUCAGCCACAAUGGGACUGAGACACGGCCCAUACUCCUACGGGAGGCAGCAGUGGGGAAUUUUACACAAUGGGGGAAACCCUGAUGUAGCGACACCGCGUGAACGAAGAAGCCUUUUGGGGUGUAAAGUUCUGUCGGCUGGAACGAAAAAAAUGACGGUACCAGCAAAGGAAGCAUCGGCUAACUACGUGCCAGCAGCCGCGGUAAGACGUAGGAUGCAAGCGUUGUCCGGAUUUAUUGGGCGUAAAGAGUUCGUAGGCGGUUAUUUAAGUCUGGUGAUAAAUACUGUGGCCCAACCACAGAACUGCAUUGGAUACUGGAUGACUUGAGUGCGGUAGAGGCGAGUGGAAUUCCCAGUGUAGCGGUGAAAUGCGUAGA